Podarcis lilfordi (Lilford's wall lizard) is the source of this 76-nucleotide non-coding RNA. NCBI's taxonomy places the organism in Eukaryota, Metazoa, Chordata, Lepidosauria, Squamata, Lacertidae. The record is from the annotation of a GenBank genome assembly.
GGAAAGACCAUAGCUCAGUGGUAGAGCAUCUGACUUGCAUGCUGAAGGUUCUGGGUUCAAUUCCCAGUGUUCUCCA